This 439-nucleotide ribosomal RNA is filed under the name uncultured Bryobacterales bacterium. RNAcentral describes it as "partial 16S ribosomal RNA". It matches the Rfam family "Bacterial small subunit ribosomal RNA", at positions 338 to 794 of the family's 1533-position model. Lineage: Bacteria; Pseudomonadati; Acidobacteriota; Terriglobia; Bryobacterales. The record is from RNAcentral.
CCUACGGGAGGCAGCAGUGGGGAAUCUUGCACAAUGGGGGAAACCCUGAUGCAGCGACGCCGCGUGAGCGAUGAAGCCCUUCGGGGUGUAAAGCUCUUUCGGCAGGGACGAUCAUGACGGUACCUGCGGAAGAAGCUGCGGCUAACUACGUGCCAGCAGCCGCGGUAAUACGUAGGCAGCGAGCGUUGUUCGGAGUUACUGGGCGUAAAGGGUGUGUAGGCGGUGCUCUAAGUUCGGUGUGAAAUCUCCCGGGUCAACCGGGAGGGGGCGCCGAAUACUGGAGGGCUCGAGCGCGGGAGAGGAAAGCGAAAUUCCUGGUGUAGCGGUGAAAUGCGUAGAUAUCAGGAGGACCACCGGUGGUGAAGACGGCUUUCGGGACCGGUUCUGACACUCAUGCGCGAAAGCGUGGGGAGCAAACAGGAUUAGAUCCCCCGGUAGU